Non-coding RNA from Phalacrocorax carbo (great cormorant), 2449 nucleotides. The record is from RefSeq and is a predicted model, not a curated record. NCBI's taxonomy places the organism in Eukaryota, Metazoa, Chordata, Aves, Suliformes, Phalacrocoracidae.
CAUCUCUUGCAGCUGUGGCAGGGGUAGAGGCCCUGGACCUGCUCUGCACAACUGCAGGUAGCAAAACAUCCCCUUGCAUUACCUACACUUGAAAAUGGACCUGGGAAAGGAUAGGACGGCUCUGCUCUUUCCUUGGCACUGACUCCUAGGUCCCCGCCACCACCCGCAUCAAACAGUCCCCAUUUGCACGCCCUCACCGCCUUCUCCUCGCCUCGCCGCCCGCCGUGACGAGACUUCCCCGAGACCACCGGGGGUGUCUGCGGCGGCCCCCAAACACUGGACGUGGUCACGGAACCGGCCCACACCCGCCCAGCUCGCCGCGGGAAGGAGGAGGUCUCCGUGAGGGCAGCGGGUAGACCCGGGAGACUCUUCCGCGGGCUCUGAGGUGACAAAGCCGGCAUGGCAAUGAGAGACACCGAGGAGCUCUGGGAAGUGCCUACCCCAGAUUCAGUUAUUAACUUUCACCAGGCGGCUGCAACUACGGCACCCGGCAUCCCCCGCUGGGCCAGCGCCUGCAAAGGCGGCCGGGAAGUGUAGUCCUCCCGCCCCGCCGCCGCCUCACCGCCCGCCCGCCGGCGGGAGCUGCCGGCCCGCCUCGCCUGCCCUCAUCUCCCGGGCGCUGGGCGGGAACACAAGUCCUGGCUCGGAACGGAGCUGCCUCCGCAGAGUCCUGUAGGUUUCCACGUCUUGGCCGAUGAGGGAGAGGUGGUCCAGGCAGGUCCUCCAUGGAGGCCGCUCCUCUCCAACAGGCAUCUGGGGGCUAAAGGCGCAAAGGUCCUUCAUGAAACACUGGCUGUGCUGAGAGGAACAUCAAGAAGGCAGGCGUCAAGGGGAACGCACAGACAAUGAGGGGACAGAGGUGUUCAUCCUUCACCCCAGGAGGGGGAUGCCGUCCCCACCCUCAUGGCAUUGCACAAAAUGGCCGCUGCCCACAGGAGGCCCAGUUCCUUGGGAAGGCAGAGCUGUAGCAAGAAGUUUUGACGUUUUGGCAGUUACAAGGGUACAUUUGCCACAGCUGGCCUCCUGGCCAGCCAGGUCCACAAAUAUUAAGGAUGUCCCAUGCUCCCUCAGCCACAUCAGGGCUGAUGUCCCUGCCCACAGCCGCCAAGGCACCAGGGCUGCAUUUUUACUACUGAGCAACGUUCUCAAGCACCGUUGGUUGCACGUUUUACAACAGAGAAACGCUCUCUCUACCGUCUGUAUUUAACAGUAGAAGGUAAAUUAUGCGGGGAGACACCAGUAUAACAGCUCACAUGUUUCAGCCUAAGAGGAGCUUAUUUUGUUGAUGACCAAUUUAAAGUAUUUAAUGUUGAAAUUUUUUAUAAUCACAGCCAUGAGGAUUUAAGCUCUUCACUUUUUAUUUCACCUGACUUAUUAUCAGCCCACUUACGUAUUAAAUCUAUUACCUUCAUAAGAUCAUGAGCUUUCUGUGACAGCUCUGUCUUCUAAUGUCUUCCACAAUGUUUCUAACUAGCAACAUUCCUGGCCCCAAAAACACCCUCAAGAAAAGCAAUAAAAAUGUGAAAGCGGAACUGUCAAAGAUUCAUGUCUAGAAAAGUUGUCAGAACACAUGCAAAAAUAACCUAGGAAGACACCUAUGAACUAUAACUCCAGAGCAUGUAAGAUUUAGUGAGAGAAGGAACCUCUAGAUGCCUUAAGAAUAUUUUAUCACUGUGACAGCCAGGUGCUAAAAAAUAUUAAUAGGCAAAGCUUAAAAAAGAAUAUCUGGAAACUGUCACUCAAGUAAUCAGCUGCUGGUCAUGAAGCAUACAGCUCCUCCCAUCUCGUGUUGAGAUGUUGUCCAUUUUUCUGUACAACCCAUAAAGCUGAGCAACUCUCUGGACUUGCCGUACAAGUUUUGCUAUGUUGAGCGCACAGGCCUGAACAUCGCAUUAGUUAAAACAAGCCAUGUGGAAACAAAAGAACGUUUUAGAGAUGUGAGUAGCAAGCAUCCAAAGUCAGGUGGAAAAAUGUUUUUAAUUGCAGACAUCUGUGUUCAUGGAACAUUACUACUCCCUGUCAUAUUUGAUUACAGGUAACUGUUCUGUUGCUUUUGAUGAAGUGGAGAAAAAACCCAGCAGAGGUAGCGGCCACACACUAACCUUGAACUGUAAGCACCAAGAAAGAGGCUACAGAGGGUAAAGUCUGUUAUUCCUCCAUGGGAAUCCAGCAACACAGAGGAGGACUACAGAAGAGCAAUGGGGGGCUCAUUGCUCAAAAGCUACAUGCAACUCCAUGUGAUGGAACAGAAAAGACAUUCACGCUACUGUUGUGCUUUCUUGAAUAUCAGCACGUGGCAGAGCACCCAGAACUACCCGAUUUGCUCGAACGAGUUAAAAGAACAGUUACCCUCUAGCAGUUCCAGGCUGGCACCACCUCCCGUGCUGACAUGGCUAACUUUAUCCUCAGUGUUCCACUUUGCACAGCAAGUCGCUGUAUCUCCACCACC